RNAcentral lists this ribosomal RNA (253 nucleotides) under uncultured bacterium. Its description in RNAcentral is "partial 16S ribosomal RNA". It matches the Rfam family "Bacterial small subunit ribosomal RNA", at positions 524 to 776 of the family's 1533-position model. The record is from RNAcentral.
UACGGAGGGGGCGAGCGUUAUUCGGAAUUAUUGGGCGUAAAGGGCGCGUAGGCGGCCUUCUAAGUCGAACGUGAAAUCCCCGGGCUCAACCCGGGAACUGCGUCCGAUACUGGAAGGCUAGAAUCCGGGAGAGGGAUGCGGAAUUCCAGGUGUAGCGGUGAAAUGCGUAGAUAUCUGGAGGAACACCGGUGGCGAAGGCGGCAUCCUGGACCGGUAUUGACGCUGAGGCGCGAAAGCCAGGGGAGCAAACGGG